ACAUAACUAUCUGUUAGCGAUAAUUUCAGUGCUUGUAGAGAAUACCUUACUGAAAACCGCUUGUCAUUUCCUUCUGCUCCUUGUUGGGUUUGACACUCUUACUUAUCGAAAGGACUACGAUAGAUCCCCUAUACUUGUGGGUCAUCACCAUCCAACGGCCGUCAUGCUUCUUCAACCUCUGGUCUUCUUGCUCCAGCCGCCCAAAGCAGCGCAGGUCGUGUCACCCGCUCCUGCCUCCCGUGGCUGGAUGUGCUGCCAUGGAGGCCUCACCGUCCCCUACUACUCCCACCGCUGGCCAGGCCAUCCCUCCACUCACCCGCACCCCCUAUUAUUCUGUGACGAUGACAGCCUCACACCGAAGCCGAACCAGUGAACCCUCGUACUCCUCUCCAUGUGGGCAUCCACUGCCAUGUCAUCACUAGCUCCGUGUAGUCCCCUUCCUAGGCCUCGCCGUCAUCCACCACCCUGGUGCUCUCGACGCGGCGUGAACAUGGUCAAGGAACGACUUCCAUCGGACGUGGACUGUACGUGGAGAGGCUGACAGCUGGGUCCACGACCACACACAAGGAAAUGCCUCCUUAUUAUGCGCAAAAUAAUGAUUCCUCCACCUGACAUCUGGGACCCGCCGGAAGGGCCUUUGUAUUUCACAAAAAAAUGUUCCCCCCGCUGACAGGUCGGACCCACCAGCUAUAUCUUCGCACGCAAGGAAGUGCCUCCUUAUUACGCACAAAAAAAUGAAUACUCCCCCUGCUAGCUGGGACCCAUCAUAGUGGGAGGCUGACUUGUGGGCCUACUAAGUUGACGGGGACGGAGGGCUUUGUCAACUUAGUCAAUAUGAACGAUUCUAGCUCCAGUGACCGUACGAUGUCCAUCCAACGGCCGUAGUGCUUCUUCAACCUCUGCUCUUCUUGCUCUAGCCGCCCAAAGCAGCGCCGGUCGUGCCGCCUGCUCCUGCCUCCCAUGGCCGGCUGUGCUACCGUAGAGGCCUCACCGCCCCCUACUACUCCCACUGCUGGCCAGGCCAUCCCUCCACUUACCCACACCCCCUGUUAUUCUGCGACGACAACAGCCUCAAUCGCAACCGAACCAGUGAACCCUCAUACUCCUCUCCGCGUGGGCAUCCACUGUCGCAUCUUCCCCGGCUCCGCAUCGUCCCCUUCCUAGGCCUCGCCGUCAUCCACCGCCAUGGUGCUCUCGACGCGGCGUGCUCAACAUGGUCAAGGAAUGACUUCCAUCGAAAGAGUACUGUACGUGGAGAGGCUGACAGUUGAGUCCACGGCCGCAGCAAGGAAGUGCCUCCUUAUUACGUGCAAAAUAAUGAUUCCUCACCUGACAGCAGGGACCCACCGGACGGGCCACCGUAUUUUGCAAAAAAAAUGUUUCCCCCUGACUGCUGGGACCCACCAGCUACAUCUUCGCACGCAAGGAAGUGCGUCCAUAUUACAGGUAAAAAACGAUUUGCCCCCCUGACUGCUGGGACCCACCAGCUACAUCUUCGCACGCAAGGAAGUUCCUAAUAGUCGGGACCCACCCAGUCGAAGCGUACGUAGCGUUGUGAUUCUAGUCGCGAACGUGUACAUGUCGAUCGGUCUGUCUGCAGGCUGCAGCGAUGAACCGUGGCGUUGCAAGGAAGGAAGGGCACAUGUCAUAGUAGAGGCGCGCACGUGUCGUAGUAGAGGCGCGCACGUAGCAUGUACACGUACGUACAACGGCCAGGGUGCAAGAAAGUAAAUACGGUCACGUACGUACAUACGGGCGGGGUCUCGAACGCCUACUCAUGCAUACGUACGGCCAGGGCUCGUGUACAUGGCUGGGUCGAAACAGAGAACUACGUCGUCGUCGUGUUCAUGGGGAGGCAACCAAAUGCGUCGUGUUCAUCGGGAGGCAACAUAACGCGUGCUAUUCAGCGGGAGCCAACCGGCUUGGACAGAACAGUCGAUGGAAACGAGGCCUGGCGUACCGCAGAACGGAGGAAACAGCCUUGUGUUUGACCGGCCAUGGUUGAAACGGGGUCCUGUUCAUCGUGAGGGGUCUGGCGUAUUGCAAAACAGAGGAAACAGACUUCGGUUUGACCUCCUACGGUCAAAACGGGGUCCUGUCGAUCGGGAGGGGUGUGGCGUACUGAAAAAUGGAGGAAACGGACUUGUGUUGGAGCGCUAUGGUCGAAACGGGGGUCCUGUUCAUCGGGAGGGGUGUGGCGUACCGCAAAACGGGACUCCACGGGAUACUGUUCAUCUCCACCGUCGACCUCCUCCAGCCUCCACCUGCGACUGUUCAUCCACAGGCUUCUGUUCAUCCAGCCUCCACCAAGCGCUCCUCCACCGGCUACUGUUCAACGAGCCCUCUCCACGGGGUCCUGUUCAACCACCCCUCCACGAGUUGCUGCUCAUCCAACCCUCCACCGGCAACUGUUCAACCAGCCCUCCACCGGCUACUGUUCAACCAGCACUCCACGGGGUCCUGUUCAUCCAGCCCUCCAUGGGGUCCUGUUCAUCCACCCCCAACCGGCUCGAUCGAUCAGGGUCUUGUUCAUCUAGCAGCAACACCACGGGGUCCUGUUCAUCCAACCCCCACUGGGAACUGUUCAUCCAACCCCCCCCCCCAACAAUGCUCACUGCUUAUCAAGGGAAGGAGGCAGCAGGUACGAUCGGCUUCAGUUAGCAGCAGUAGCGAACGAAGGAAUCGCUCGAUCGGGUUCAGUUAACAGCCAUCGAUCGAUCGCUCGGGUUCAGUAACGCGUAGCCUGCAGUGCAAUCGCUCGGGUUCAGUUAGGCGAACGCCUCGCUCGGGUUCAAUUAGAGCACAACGCCUCGCACCCAUGCGCGUAUGUGUAUGAGAGAAACACGCAUCGCUCGGCCCUCGACCACCCACCGUAACCAGGAACUCCCUGAUAUUUUCCUCGCCCUCGCUUCUACCACGGUUUUUUCCGUUAUGGACGGCCCAAAGAAUGUCAUGCAGCUGCAUAUCCGGCCCGCCCAGGACGAAAAGCCCAUUUUCUGUCAUGAUUUUUUGUCAUAGAAAUAGGAGCCCACCACAUCUAUGAUGAUACCAGGUUUUGUCACAAUUAUCGUCAUAGAAGUAUCAUAAGCAUGACAGGAAAAAAAUUUGUUCAGCCCAAAAUGUCACAGAUGUGUCUUUUUUUGUAGUGCCUCAGCCAUGAGGGUGAACUAGUCCCUCCUCAUCAUGGAGAGCGUCGGAAUGACGAAGAUGGCCAUCGGUGAUGGUUCCCCCCCUCCGACAGGGUGCCGGAACAGGGCCCCGAUUGGUUUUUGGUGGCUACAGAGGCUUGCGACGGCGGAACUCCCGAUCUAGGUUUCUUUUCAGGGGUUUCUGUAUUUAUAGGAAUUUUUGGCAUCGAUUUCACGUCAGGGGGGGUCUCACAGGGAUUCCACGAGGUAGGGGGCGUGCCCUAGGGGGUGGGGCACCCUCCACCCUCGUGGUGGCCGUGUGACUCCCCUCCGGUAACUCUUCGUUCCAGUAUUUUUUAUAUUUUCCAAAAAAAAAUCUCCGUUCAAUUUCAGGUCAAUUGGACUCCGUUUGAUAAUCCUUUUCUGCGAUACUCAAAAACAAGGAAAAAAAUAGAAACUGGCACUGGGCUCUAGGGUAAUAGGUUAGUCCCAAAAAACAUAUGAAAUAACAUAUAAAUGCAUAUAAAACAUCCAAGAUACGUUAAUAUAAUAGCAUAGAACAAUCAAAAAUUAUAGAUACGUUGGAGACGUAUCAACAUGCUAGACCAGGUUGGAGCGCAUGCGAUCACAUGCCUCCCUCCCGCCUGCUCAAUGUGGGGGAACUGCCACCCGACGUCCUGAACCUUCCUGCGUGACUGUCCGUUUUGUGAGGGAGGUGCCACAUCAAUGUUGUGCACUGGGUAUUUAAACAUCACACCACCCUUUCAUUGAUAUUUUCAGGCCUCACCUAGGCCGGUGCAGUCUCUGGGCCCUCGCUUGGGCGGUUUUCAAUGCGGCGUCCAUCUGUGGGCCCGCGCGGUCUACGACAUUGACUGGAUGCCAGAGGGUUUUGACCGGGGGAUAUUUCUCUUGUUCUGUGCCAUGGCAGGUUAUCCCGACAUGCCAGACCAGGUUGGAGCACAUGCGAUCACACGACUCCCUCCCGCCUGCUCGAUGUGGGGGGGGCCAACCACCCGACAUCCUGAACCCUCCCGCGUGACUGUCCAAUUUGUGAGGGAGGUGCCACAUCAAUGUUGUGCACUGGGUAUUUAAUCAUCAGGCUGCCCUUUUUCGUUGAUAUAUCCCGACCCCAUGUGAGCUGGUGCGGUCUCCAGGCCCUCCCUGGGGUGGUUUUCCACGUCGCAGCCAUCCGUGGGCCCGCGCGGUCUAUGAUGUUGACUGGAUGCCAGAGAGGUUUGACCGGGGUUUAUUUCCAUUGUUUUGUGUCACGAUAGGUCAUGCCGACAUGCCAGACCAGAUUGGAGCGCAUGCGAUCACACGACUCCCUCCCGCUUGUUCGAUGUGGGGGGACUAGCACCAUAUGUCUUGAACGUUCCUGCGUGAUUGUCCGGUUUGUGAGGGAGGUGCCACAUUAAUGUUGUGCACUGGGUAUUUAAACAUCGAGUCACCCUUUCGUUGAUAUAUCUCGGCCCCGCGCAGGCCGGUGCGGUCUCCGGGCCAUCCCUAGGCCAGUUUUCGAUGCCGCGACCAUCCGUGGGCCUUGGCAGUCUAUGACGUUGACCAGAUGCUAGAGGGGUUUGACCGAGGGGUAUUUCUCUUGUUCUAUGUCACGGUAGGUCAUGCCAGACCAGGUUGGCGCGCAUGCGAUCACAUGACUCCCCCCUGCUGGUUGUGGGGGGACUACCACCCUACGUCCUGAACCUUCUUGCGAAGGUUUUUGACGCCGCGAGCAUCCUUGGACCCGAGCGGUUUCCAACACUUGUACCAUAGUCCUCUUAGAUAUAUGUGGGGGUAAACACACGAUGUAACCUAUGCCAACAUAAUAGCAAAGGAACGCAGGGGGAGCCGACAAAUGUGUUCCGGCGCCCUGUCGGAUGAUGUGCGUUAUUGUGACGGUGUCACGGGGAGGAGCGCCCGUAGUCAGGCCCCGGGGAUGUAUCUGAAUCGGUGAAUCUCGUUAACAAAUCUCGGUGUCGUUUUCGUGUGAUUGCUUUUAGUCCUUGUUAGAUCGAGCGCGCGUCACAGAUUUUUCUAACAUUGAUGAAAUGGGAUCGAAAGUGCGAUGAAAACUAGCCUAGACAGAAUGUGUGAGAAACAGGGGGAAGGAAAAGAAAUGCAACAAGUAAUUAUAAGUCCAACUCACCACUCUAAUCAUUUUUUGCACUGCAUAUAUUUUGUGCAUGGUAAGCCGAGUGCAUUUUUUUGGGUACUCGGCUUACGGCCACCGCCGUCACGGAGCCGUUAGCAGACAGCGCGCGGGCCACGUGGCAGUUACAUUGCCGUGUCUCUCUUGUAAGCCGAGUACUUUUUUGCUGCACCUACGGCUUAUCAGUAAGUAAGCCGUGAAUAUUGUCUAAGCCGAGUAUCGUCAUACUGGUUCCACGACGUACGGAGCGGUAAGCCGUGUAUUGUUUUUUCGUCGUGUGGCUUAUUGUGCAUACUCGACUUACGUGGAAACAAGCCGUGAGUGAUAUGCCUAUUUUGCAUCAUGAUUUUAUAUCAAUAUUCAUUGCAUUAUGGGUUGUUAUUACACGCUAUACCACAUACUUAUGCCUUUCCUCUCUUAUUUUAUAAGGUUUACAUGAAGAGGGAGAAUGCUGGCAGCUGGAAUUCUGGACUGGAAAAAGAGCAAAUAUUAGAGACCUAUUCUGCACAACUCCAAAAAUCCUGAAACUCCACGGAAAUCAGUUUUGGAAUAUAUUAAAAAUAUUUGACAAAGAAAGCACCAGAGGGGCGCCACCAGCCAGCCACAAGGGUGGAGGGCGCACCCUACCCCCCUGGGCGUGCCCCCUGGCAGGCUCCCGACGUCCAUAUUCUGCUAUAUGGUGUCUUUUUCCCUGGAAAAAAAAUCCAAAGGAAGCUUUCAGGCGAAGCGCCGUCGUCUCGAGGCGGAACCUGGGCAGGACCAAUCUAGGGCUCCGGCGGAGCUGUUCUGCCGGGGAAACAAGCCUCCGGGAGGGGGAAAUCAUCGCCAUAGUCAUCACGAGGGGGUCAAUCUCCAUCAACAUUUUCACCAACACCAUCUCCUCUCAAACCCUAGUUCAUCUGUUGUAUCUGAUCUUUGUCUCAAAACCUCAGAUUGGUACCUGUGGGUUGCUAGUAGUGUUGAUUACUCCUUGUAGUUGAUGCUAGUUGGUUUAUUCGGUGGAAGAUCAUAUGUUCAGAUCCUUAAUGCUUAUUAAUACCCCUCUGAUUAUGAACAUGAAUAUGCUUUGUCAGUAGUUACGUUUGUUCCUGAGGACAUGGGAGAAGUCUUGUUAUAAGUAAUCAUGUGAAUUUGGUAUUCGUUCGAUAUUUUUAUGAGAUGUAUGUUGUCUCUCCUCUAGUGGUGUUAUGUGACCAUCGACUACAUGACACUUCAUCAUGAUUUGGACCUAGGGAAAGGCAUUGGGAAGUAAUAAGUAGAUGAUGGGUUGCUAGAGUGACAGAAGCUUAAACUCUAGUUUAUGCAUUGCUUCGUAAGGGGCUGAUUUGGAUCCAUAAGUUUCAUGCUAUGGUUAGGUUUACCUUAAUUCUUCUUUCAUAAUUGCGGAUGCUUGCGAGGAGGGUUAAUCAUAAGUGGAGGCUUGUCCAAGGAAGGACAACACCCAAGCACCGGUUCACCCACAUAUCAAAUUAUCAAAGUAACGAACGUGAAUCAUAUGAGCAUGAUGAAAACUAGCUUGACGAUAAUUCCCAUGUAUCCUCGGGAGCGCUUUGCUUUAUAUAAGAGUUCAUCCAGGCUUGUCCUUUGCUACAAAAAGGAUUGGGCCACCUUGGUGCACCUUGUUUACUUUUGUUAUUUAAUACCCGUUACGAAUUACCUUAUCACAAAACUAUCUGUUACCGAUAAUUUCAGUGCUUGCAGAGAAUACCUUACGGAUUUGUUUCUGCAGGAAGUUUCCCAGGGACCUUGCUGUAUUUUUUGAUUUCGCUUGGGUGUUUUCUGCUUUAGGGGACAGCUGUCCCAUAUCUGGUUGUUUCCACAAUGUUGCUUUUGCAAUCCUUGCUUAAUUAAUCAGAUAUAUGAUUUUUCAAAAAAAAUAAAGAAAAAGCAAUUUGUAGGCAUACCGCAGUAUGCAGUACACUCGGACAAUGUUUUUCAGCAUUUCUAUUUUCCUCUUAUAUGAUGAAAAAAAAAGAACAUUUUAGCCGAGAUCAGUGGCGAAUGUCACAGAAUUGAACUUGGGAUUUCAUUUUCGAAUUCCAGCGAACAGGUCCCAGGUAGAACGAAAUCCCUCCCCAGACCCUAUCAGUUGGGUGGAUUUGACGGACCCUCCCGAUCCCGUCCCCUCUCCUCCUCCUCCCCCUCCACCCGCCGCCACCCUCUCCUCCGGCCAGAUCGCCCUGUCGCUCCGUCUCGAUUCCUUUCGUCUGCCAAGGCAGACCCGCCUCGGUCCCUCUCCUCCGCCCAGAUCUUCCCAUCCCGCUCCAUCUCCUUCGCCGAGGACGACAUCCCUCUCCUCCGGCAAGGUCGCCGCCGGUAAGGCUUCUCCUCCGACUCUCCUUCCCACUACCUUCUAUCGCGUCUCGCAACCCUAACCAGUUCACUCGAUCGACAGCAGCUCCUCGCCCUCGUCAAUCCCUUCUCAUCCACUGCAAUCUUUUGCCGGAUCCGUCCACCCUUUGCCGCCUCUACUGCAGAUCGAUCCUGUGGCACCGCCCUGCAGAUCCCGACCUCCAAGCCAAGACCUAGUUCCACCUUCGGCACCUUGCAAGGUAUAAGCUCCGUCCAUGGCUUGGCUUCUUAAUUAAAGAAGAUCUUGGAUACAUUAACAACUAGUACUAGCUGCUGAUGCACUUGAUUGAAAAGUGGCUCCAUUGGCUGCUUAAUUUCUGCAUAUGCAUGAUUCACACCAUUAUACCAUAAUAAGGCUGUCAUAAUUCUAAGGAUUAUCUCAAGUUUCAGUACUAGUAGAAACUUGAACCUGAGCAUACAGCUUCGUGCCAGCUAGACUCAUGUUUUCACAGUAAUCAUCCAGGCAGGUAAUUCCUUGGUAAGUACUACCGGUCAUUAGAUUCCACCUGUGGUCUAAAACCAAAUGAAUACGCCAGCCAGAACCACCAGCAUGACUUUCAGGAUUUUUCAAGUUAAGCCGCUAGCCAACUGAACCAUAUUUUGAAUGGUUAUUUUUUGACAGUAAACUGUAGGGGAGGCCCCCAAAAGUGUAUAAUUUUUGCAAAGGGUAACUAUGGCCAGAUUGUCAUAAAGAAUUAAGCAAAUGCUGACGUUUUGUCUGCAUCUUCAUCAGCCAUUCAGCCCACAAGAAUGGCAGGCUGCUCAAAGAUUGUAACAAAAUUCUAAACUUAGAAUAGAAGAGUAAAUUUGUAAUGGCGACAACACAGAGUGCGCAUUCAACACAUACAACAUUAAGUACAUACAAAUUUGGGAAAUAGCCUCCAGAUUUGUACUUAGGUAUGGAUCAGAACCGCCAAACCUAAUCGUAGUCUAUGCAGCACCUUGUCUCCUUCAUGAUCAACAAAAGAAUCUGCAUAUGUAUCAUCACUAGUGAUACAAAGGUGUUUUGUAUUAUGAGAGUCCAGGAAGAUUAAGAUUGGCCCCCCUUGUCAUAGCUUUUUGUUCUUCUUGUUGUUGCUUAAUUCCUCUUCAAUUUAUGUUCUUACUUCUUUUAUUUUUCAAAAAUCCUGAAAGCAUUCUGCAAAGUCUGUAAACUAGAUUUCUACCAAUCUUCUUAAAUCAUUCUCAUUUCCUAAAUCUCCUUGAAAAGAUGCUAUGGUCUCAGAAAGCGCUUGACGAACGGCUCUAACGAUAAAAUCCUGCACACAAAUAAAACGAAGCAAUUAAAACACGGCAGCUAGCUAAUAGUAUGCAUGUCAGAACCAAUAAUUCAAUGCUCUUAAAAAUCGUUAUAUAAUGAGAAAUAUAUCCAUUUUCUAGCAUUAUUAGUAAGAAAUUGCAAUAAAUAGUAGGAUGUAAUAACUAGAAUACUCAUCGAUAUUUACCUGGGUAUGAUCUGAGGAGUACUGCCUUUUAGUAUGGCAACUCCUGGUGGGAAUUGCAUCAGCAAAAUAAGAUUUAUCUCUGUCUAGAUUCAGGUUCUCCCACCCCCUGCAUUCCUUAAGUUAAGAAUUGUAAGAAGAAAUUGCGCAAUUUCAUACUCCUUUUAACAAGGAAUCCUUAAUUGCUCCUGAAAUAGAGGUGCAUGCAUCGGAUAAUAAUAUAUAAUGAUAAGUGAAACCCUAAACUUCGUAGGAGUCUUUACCUGUCAAAACUAGCCUGAGACCAGAUCCGUCAUUAGCAAAUAUAGGAGAUAGAACACCAGGAGUGUCUAACACAUAUUUGGAUGACUAGCAACCUGAAAACUAGAAACUUCCUAUUGUUAAGAUUUAAAUGACACAUUACAAUCAUAUAAAUAGUUCCCGAGCCAUGGGAUAUUGAUGGUAGCAGACACAAGAAGGUUAUAGGUCACCAAUCUUAUUUGUGCUAGUAGGCUAAAAAGGACAAACUAUGCUUGCCAAAGAUACUACACAACAAUGCAUCAAACCUUAGAUAUAGUGUGUAUGUCAGAUCAUGACACCAUUGUAAAACAAAUCAACAUGUUUAUUUGUCCAAAAUAUACCCCCACGACCACCAAGCCCGUCGAAUAAAACAAUAAUCUCAUUGAAACAAAAUUUUGUAACUAUGUACUUUGUGGUAUGUACAAUCGUCUUGAAGCAAUGAACUUAUUUUUCGCUUAAUUCUUGAAGCAUAAUUGACAAAUGAUAAUGUUAGCUCCUCAAUUAACCAUCGAUUUCGAGUCGCGCGACUCGUCGUCGACUAGUCGAUGAGUCGCAAAAAAAUGUUGACUCAACUUAGUGUCGACUCAUGACUCGAGUCAUGACUAGUCGCAACGGCAGGCUCGACUUUUUCCGAGUGGCUACCCCAGAACGACUCAUCCAAGUCGCGACUCGAAAACCAUGCAAUUAACCCAUUGCCUCAUGUUUUCCGCAAAACAAAACAAAAAACUAUUGCCUUAUGUUAUUAGGUAGUUCUGCAGUAAUAUACAAAUGAAUUUGACAUAUGCAGUUGAUCCAACAAACAACACUAACAUGGAGUUUGUGUAAAUUCAACCGUAAUACAACAUAUGAGUCAGACUUAGGUUUAUGUGACUGUGUGAGCCAUGAGGCGUCUGUACUUUUCGCCUCUCACGCUUCAUGUUGUGUGCUCAUUAAGGCCCUAAUUGGAAUAAAUAAAUUUGUAGAACGGGCUCAUUAUCUUAUGGGACCGUUUGGUGCAACAGUUAAGAAUCGCAACUCCGUUUAUUUGUUCAAGAGAGCCCACAUCCGAGCAUCACCUACACCUUGUCGACUCGAAGGGACCAGAUCCAUGCUGCUUGCCCUGUUGCAUCUUUGCCUGCACUGACUGGCAUGCACUGCUCCGCUGUCUUGAAUCAUGCAGCUUGCUUCUGAUCGAACAUAUACUAUGGCGUAAAUGUGGGCCAAACUGUUCAUUGUGUUCACAAGAAUUUAAAAUUUCUUCAUAACUAUAGGCAGGUUAGUAAUCCAGCCAAACAAAUGGUAAAAUUUGAAGUGAAAACCCCAGUUUUGUUCAUAAUUUAUACUCCCUCCGUUUUUGUAUACAAGGCCACUAUCUCAUUUUUCAGAUGCCAAGAAAACAAAGCCAACUAAUAAAUAGCACCAUUAAUUGUGUGGAAAACCGAAAAUCUCUCAUGUUCCGGGCUAAUUAUUUUUUUUGCAUGUGGUGCCUCUUUCUCUAUUGCUGCAUGCAACAUAUUCAUUAAUAACCACCAUCGUGCGAGGCAAAAAUCUAAUCAAUUCUUCUUGGGAAGGGAUAGUAGCCUUGUAUAGAUGCAAAUUGUAUUUUUGAUAGUGGCAUUGUAUUUAAAAACGGAGGAAGUAGUAUUUUUUUUAUCAAACAUGAAAUAUGGUGUGAAAAUUGGAUUUUUGUUGUAAAGUUCAGUUUGUAGAACCUUGGUGUCAUACUUGUGAUUGAAAAGGGGCGUACACAGUGCUGAAAGCUCCCACACAAGGUGUGGUCUGGGGAAGGCAAUUUCUGGACGCCUUACUCCUGCAUAAUAAUUCUGCAAGGAGGCUGGUUCGAACCCAGGACCUCCAGGCCACAAGUGGAGAGACUACCCACUGCGCCAUGCCCACCCUUCUGUCAUACUUGUGAUUUAACUGCUAAUAAAUUGUUCUUUUGAUGCUGCUUUAGAUCAGAGUUUAAUAUUGUUUAAUGUACUAAAUAUUUCAUUUCUGUCUUCAUAGUUGCUGAAGUUCAAAUUAGGCAAUGGAUCUGGACACAGAGAAUCGUCUAGCUUCAUUACUCCUUGAAGAAGCACGGAGAUUACAGUCAGAGGCUGACAGGGAAGGUGUUCAUGCAUAUCUGCGAAAGCCCAAUGUUAGGCAUCGUCCAAACUCCCGGUUCCUCACAGCCACAGUUCGUGGAGUUCAACAAGGUUAGCAUCAUGUUUCUUUUACAUUAUCCUUGCCUCCUUGUGUUGAUUACCUGAUCAAAGCAGCUGUAAUCAUGCUUUUUACUGAAGAAAUGUUUUUUUAUGUCCUUGAAACCUUCUCAUUAGGAGAAUUCACCCAAAACUAAUCACAACAAUUGAAGGCAGUUACAAAUUUGCAAUCAUGUAGGCACCACUUUAAAUUGCUUCCUCUAACUCGGGGUGGUUAACUAAAUAAGCACUAAUGACUACUCCCUCCGUCCGGAAAUACUUGUCCUUGAAAUGGUUGUAUCUAGACUUAUUUUAGUUAUAGAUACAUCCAUUUUCUCCAUUUUGAAGACAAGUAUUUCCGGACGGAGGGAGUACUUUAUAAGUAUUUUUGAACCAAAAGUGUAAAUCUGUGCGCGAGCACAGAUGCUCGGCUUAUCUCGCACGUUGUUUCUCUCCUAGAUUCGUGAAGGUUCUGGUACUGUACCUUGUAUAAAGAUCGGUAUUUAUUUCCUCCUUCACUGUUGAUCUGGCCCACACUGGUCGCUGAGUUAUUGUGCCGGAUACCCACAGAUGUCUUCUGGCCCAGACGUCGUUUCACGGUGGGCCAUCUGCACCUUUCUCCACCAUCCUGAGCAGUCCCAUUAACUCGUCCUCAGCUACCAACAAAAUCCUCCUGCUGAUUUCUUGCCGGGACAAGUUCAUCAACUUCGUCUCUCACACCCGGAUCUACAAGUGCGUCAAGAAAGAUCCUUUGCCACAAAUCUAUAUGUAAUGACUUGAUUAUAGCCUAAAUCUUGUCCCUGCUAACCUUAUCAGUACAUGCACUCCACCUAUGUUUUUAAGGCGGUAAGGCGAGGCGAGGCGCUGGGGGGGCGCCUCACUGCCUAAGCGCUGAGGCAUAAGGCGAGGCGACGCCUUAGAGACUUGUAAGCAACAGAAUUAAGUAGAAUUUGGUAGGCAUUAAGCAACUAGGCAUACAGCCAUACACACCUUGCAACUGAUUGUUGUAGAGCCCCCAUCCUCUUUGCACUUGCUUUUCUCCCCAACAGAAUUCUGCAUCAACAUGAAGUCAUGAACAAAUAUGUUAGAAUAAUGUAUCACUUACCAGUGCACAUUCCACAAAAAAUAGAAAUAAAAGUGAGGCAGCGAACAAAAGUGGAAAGAAAGAUAGCAAGUAUGAGUGCAACUGCAAUCUGCAAUGCAUGGCAUAUUACAUAACCAUUAACCAAUUCAAAUGACACAAGUCCAGUAGUCCACAUAAGACAAACAGAAUAAUAGAUAACUCCAGCAUAGCAAAAGGGAUAAAGGUGGCCAGCUCAGCUCUCUCAUGUCUCUCCACUCUCAAAGUCUCAAUCAAAAGUCAUCAUCAUCAAACUCAUUGGCAUUGGUGUUGUCUUCACCAUCUUGGGCAACAUUAGUUGGCUCUUGAUCGUCAUUGCUCACAUCAUCAUCAUCCUCAACGUAGUCUGAAUCCUCCCCC
Molecule: long non-coding RNA, 12989 nt
Filed under: Triticum aestivum (bread wheat)
Lineage: Eukaryota; Viridiplantae; Streptophyta; Magnoliopsida; Poales; Poaceae
Description: long non-coding RNA (TAES_LNC015613)
Rfam family: MIR1120/MIR1122 microRNA precursor family (bases 11764-11887)
Source: RNAcentral